GCGCUCGCUUUGCGGCACAUGUACUAGAAUUGGAACGACAGAAGGUUAGCGUGGCUCCUGCACACGGAUGACACGAAAACUCGUGAAGCGUUGCAUCUUAAA
RNAcentral lists this small nuclear RNA (102 nucleotides) under Dasypus novemcinctus (nine-banded armadillo). Lineage: Eukaryota; Metazoa; Chordata; Mammalia; Cingulata; Dasypodidae. The record is from RNAcentral.